RNAcentral lists this non-coding RNA (2598 nucleotides) under Pan troglodytes (chimpanzee). Lineage: Eukaryota; Metazoa; Chordata; Mammalia; Primates; Hominidae. The record is from RNAcentral.
GUCCAAGGCAGAAGGCCGUGCGUCAGGGCGGCCCUCAGCGGAGAUGCCUGCACGGAGCGGGGAGCGCCGCUCGGGGCAGGGAAUGAAAGCGGCGCUUGAGACUGGAAAUUUAGGGAGAUGAGUUCCUUGGGAACAACGCUGAACCAUCUCACUGCCCCACCCUACCCCUUGUUAUUUUUUUUUUGAGACAGGUCUCGCGCUGUCGUCCAGUCUGAGUGCAGUGACGCGGUCACGGCUCACUGCAGCCUCGACCUCCGGGGCUCACGAGUCGUCCCACCUCAGCCCUCUGAGUAGCUGGCACCACGGGCAUGCACCACCACACCCGGCUAAUUUUUUUUAAAAAGUUUUUCCGGAGAUAGGGUCUCGCUGUGUUACCCAGGCUGGUCUCGAACCCCUGGCCUGAAGCGAUCCUCCCGCCUCGGCCUCCUAAAGUGCUGGGAUUACAGGCGUGAGCCACUGCACUCGGCUUUUCACUCCUUUCUAACGUUUUCCAUACCCAGCGGUGCCCUGCCCACCCUCUCUUUAUCUCUCACUUUUCCCUUCUCUGUUUCUUCCUCGCUGAAGUCCAUUGGUGAAAGAAAAUUCAUGUGAAAGUUCUGGAUGUGAAUAAAGGUCUCAGAGUCGUCCUUGUCUACUCCACUACCAAAUGUUGAAGUUCUUCAAGAAUCAGUCCUUUGGAGGCAUUUAAGGAAAUCUGUUUCUCUUUUGGAUCACUAGCUGCAAAUUAAGCUAACAGAACAGAAGCUCAGCUGGUCACACACAGCAACAAAUACAGACUUUAUAAAGUUCAGAAAAGUUACCAAACAGUGGUAACCAUAACAAGUACCAACAAUGAACUAUGGGGAGGGAGGAGAAUCUGAUUUCCAGAGUUACCACAUUAUAAUACUAUUCAAAAUGUCACAUUUUUAGCAAAGAUUACAGGACAAGGAAAAACCAGAAAAGUAUGGCCCAUACACAGGUAAAAAAAGAAAUUAAUAGAAACUACCCCUGAAGAAGCACAGACUUCGGAUGUACAAAACAAAGACUUUUCAUCAACUCUUUUAGAUAUGCUAGAAGAGCUAAAGGAAACCAUGGACAGAGAACAAAAAAAUUAGGAAAGCAAUGUCUCAUCCAAUACAGAAUAUCAAUAAAGAGAUUGAAAUUGUAGAAAAGAACCAAAUAGAAAUUCUGGAGUUGAAAAGUAUUAUAACUAAAACUGAAAAUUCACUGGAGGUAUUCAGCAGCAGACUGGAGAAGUCAGAAGAAAGAAUCAACAGGCUUCAAGAUAGGUCAAUUAAGAUUAUACAGUCUGAGGAGCAGAAAGGAAAAAGAAUGAAGAAAAAUGAACAGAGCAUAAAAGACUUCUGGGACUCUAUCAAGCAUACCAGUAUAUGCAUGAGGGGAGUCCCAGAAGGAGAAGAAAGAGAGAAAGGGACAUAAUAUUUGAAGAAAUAAUGGUAGAAAAUGUCCCAGCUUUGAUGAAAUACAUGAAUCUAGAUAUUCAAGAGGCUCAAAGAACCCUAAAUAGGGUAAACUCAAAAAGACCCACACCGGAAUGCAAAAGUGAGCUGGGUGUGGUGGCACGUGCCUGUGGUCCCAGCUACUCGAGAGGCUAAGGCAGGAAAAUCACUUGAACCCAGGAGGCAGAGAUUGCAGUGAGCCGGGAUUGCGCCAGCGCACUCCAGCUGGGCGACAGAGCGAGAUUCCAUCUCGAAAAAAAAAAAAAAAAAAAACUAUUGCUGCAGUCAUUCAGAUGGAAAUGGGGAAAGAAUAAUAUUAACUGAUUUCAAAAAGGACUUGAAGAUGUGAAUCAUCUAUUUUGCUGAAGAAAUCUUAACUCUUUGAAAUUACUUUUUGUUGCUGUUGUCAUACUCUUAGGUGCCAAACUGCGGUAAAUUUUUAAUCAGUGAAGUGGAAGCAUGUGUUUUGUUGUUUUGGGAAUUUUUAUCAAGUAUCUUCAGAGAAGAUUAUUUCCUGCUUUGUCUUCAAAAACUGGAAAGGAAGGGUCAAAGAAAAGACAGUAGCUGGCCGGUCAUGGUGGCUCAUGCCUGUAAUCCCAACACUUUGGGAGGCUGAGGCGGGCAGAUCACCUGAGGUUGGGAGUUCGAGGCCAGCCUGACCAACGUGGAGAAAUGCCAUCUCUACUAAAGAUGCAAGGAUUGGCCGGGCGUGGUGGCCGCGUGCCUGUGAUCCCAGCUGCUCAGGAGGCUGAGGCAGGAGAAUCGCUUGGACCUGGGAGGUGGAGGUUGCGGUGAGCUGAGAUCACGCCAUUGCACUCCAGCCUGGGCAACAAGCGAAACUCUGUCUCAAAAAAAGAAAAGACAGUAGCUUAUGUUCAUGUCAAGCACCUCUCAUCACAGUCUAGUUCCAAGGAAAAAUUCCAGCAUUUUCUACAUUGGGUGCUGCGUCAUCUGAAAUCGGCACAUUCCGUGGAGGAAGGAGUCCUGCUUUGUUGCAUGUAUCCUAGGGUUUAAUGUUGGUAAAUGAGUCACUCUAGCAUUUGUAGAAGGCUCCCUGAGACUCCUGCAGCAGUCGACCAAGCCCAAGGACAUAAUUGAAUCUGGAGAGUCCUGGGGCCUUGUUUUGAAAAAGACUUGAAAUACACAUAGGAAGAAAGGC